This 845-nucleotide ribosomal RNA is filed under the name uncultured Actinomycetes bacterium. RNAcentral's name for it is "bacterial SSU rRNA". It matches the Rfam family "Bacterial small subunit ribosomal RNA", at positions 58 to 878 of the family's 1533-position model. The record is from RNAcentral. Lineage: Bacteria; Bacillati; Actinomycetota; Actinomycetes.
CAAGUUCGAACGCGAAAGUCCCCUUCGGGGGAUUAGUAGAGUGGCGUCCGGGUGAGUAACACGUAGGUAAUCUACCUUUGGGUGGGGAAUAACGCAGGGAAACUUGCGCUAAUACCGCAUAAUGCAGCGGCACCACAUGGUGACAGUUGUUAAAGCGGGGGAUUUUCGGACCUCGCGCCUAAAGAGGAGCCUGCGGCAGAUUAGCUAGUUGGUAGGGUAACGGCUUACCAAGGCGACGAUCUGUAGCCGGCCUGAGAGGGCGGUCGGCCACACUGACACUGACAUACGGGUCAGACUCCUACGGGAGGCAGCAGUCGGGAAUUUUGGGCAAUGGGCGAAAGCCUGACCCAGCAACGCCGCGUGAAGGAUGAAAUCCCUCGGGAUGUAAACUUCGCAAGAAUGGGAAGAAUUAGUAGGGGCUAAUACCCCCUAUGAUGACGGUACCACUUGUAAGCUCCGGCUAACUCCGUGCCAGCAGCCGCGGUAAUACGGGGGGAGCAAGCGUUGUUCGGAUUUACUGGGCGUAAAGGGCGCGUAGGCGGUCAGCACAAGUCAGUUGUGAAAUCUCCGGGCUUAACUCGGAAAGGUCAACUGAUACUGUGCGACUAGAGUGCAGAAGGGGCAACUGGAAUUCUCGGUGUAGCGGUGAAAUGCGUAGAUAUCGAGAGGAACACCUGCGGCGAAGGCGGGUUGCUGGGCUGACACUGACGCUGAUGCGCGAAAGCCAGGGGAGCGAACGGGAUUAGAUACCCCGGUAGUCCUGGCCUUAAACGAUGGAUGCUUGGUGUCUGGAGUUUUAUAGUCUCCGGGUGCCGUAGCUAACGCGUUAAGCAUCCCGCCUGGGG